CGAGAGGCCGAGACCUUGGAAGGCUUGGCCGAGACCUUGGAAGACUUGGCCGAGAGGCCGAGACCUUGGAAGGCUUGGCCGAGACCUUAGAAGACUUGGCCGAGAGGCCGAGACCUUAGAAGACUUGGCCGAGAGGCCGAGACCUUGGAAGGCUUGGCCGAGACCUUAGAAGACUUGCCCGAGGGGCCGAGACCUUAGAAGACUUGGCCGAGAGGCCGAGACCUUAGAAGACUUGGCCGAGACGACCGAGACCACUGGAACAUGGCCGAUGGCCGACCCAUGCCAUGAUGAUUUGGCCGAUGGCCGACCCCUAUUACAGUUAACGCUCAAACCAAGAUCAGUGAAGUUAAUCUAUCAUUAAGAAUUAGGUAAUGCAAACCUAAGAGGUGUCCACCUCGAUAAAUGGGCCCAACAAGGUAGGCCCACUAGAAUAAUAUAAAUAGUACGCAUCCCAAGGAGUAAGGUAUGUCAUUUAUCACUCUGAGAGCUGACCACCCGCUUUACUGACUUGAGCGUCGGAGUGCCUUCGCAGGUACCC
Molecule: long non-coding RNA, 538 nt
Filed under: Phaseolus vulgaris (common bean)
Lineage: Eukaryota; Viridiplantae; Streptophyta; Magnoliopsida; Fabales; Fabaceae
Description: long non-coding RNA (PVUL_LNC004898)
Source: RNAcentral